This 1835-nucleotide long non-coding RNA is filed under the name Nicotiana benthamiana. RNAcentral's name for it is "long non-coding RNA (NBEN_LNC019423)". Lineage: Eukaryota; Viridiplantae; Streptophyta; Magnoliopsida; Solanales; Solanaceae. The record is from RNAcentral.
AGGGAGUUGACAGACAUAAUCCUUAAGGUAGGAAGGAGGAUUAUGCUGUUUAGUAGACUUUCUAGAGGUGGGAAUAGGAUGGGAAUGAGGUAAUACAGGAGCAGAGAGAUCUGGAUGAAAAGAAGGAAGGGAAGAUGUACCAGCAUCAAGAACAUGAGGUGCAGGAGAAUCAGAAUUAGAAGGAAGGACAGGAGAAUCAGGGGAAGGAAAGAUAGGAAAGUCUGAGACAGUAAAAUCAUCAGCAGGGGGAGCAUAAGGAACAUAAGAAGAAGGAUGAACAGAAGUAGGAUUAUCCUUAAAAGAAAAAUAGGUUUCAUGAAAGACAACAUCCCUUGAAACAAAACACUUCUUGGUAACCAAGUCAUACAGUUUAUAAUCCUUUUUAGCAAAGGGGUAACAGGUUUCAUGAAAGACAACAUCCCUUGAAAAAAAACACUUCUUGGUAACCAUGUCAUACAGUUUAUAACCCUUUUUAGCAAAGGGGUAACCCAGAAACACACAAGAAUGGGCUCUAGGUUUAGGCUUGUCCCUUUGAGGGAUAGGGACAGCAGCAUAAGCAAGGCAUCCAAAUGCUCCCAAAUGAGAAUAGGAUGGGGCUUUGCCAUACAAAAUUUCAUGGGGAGACUUAUGAUGAAGGGUUCUUGUAGGUAUUUUGUUAAGGAGAUAGGUGGCAGUUAAGAGACAAUCCCCCCAAAAAGAGACAGGUAGGCCAGAUUGAAAAAGCAAGGCUCUACAUGUUUCAAGGAGUGUUCUGUGUUUUCUUUCAACAACACCAUUCUGUUGAGGAGAAUGAGGGCAAUAGGAUGGGGCUUUGCCAUACAAAAUUUCAUGGGGAGACUUAUGAUGAAGGGUUCUGGUAGGUAGUUUGUUAAGGAGAUAGGUGGCAGUUAACAGACAAUCCCCCCAGAAAGACACAGGUAAGCCAGACUGGAAAAGCAGGGCUCUACAUGUUUCAAGUAGUGUUCUGUAUUUUAUUUCAACAACACCAUUCUGUUGAGGUGAAUGAGGGCAAGAAGUUUGAUGGAUAAUCCCCUGGCUACUAAAAAAGGAUAUUCCCUCAGUACUGGAUCCUAGUUCUAAGGCAUUGUCACUUCUGACAGUCUGAACCACAGAGUUAAACUGAGUCUUAACAAAGGAAGUGAAUCAGUACUGGAUCCUAGUUCUAAGGCAUUGUCACUUCUGACAGUCUGAACCACAGAGUUAAACUGAGUCUUGACAAAGGAAAUGAAAGACUUAAGCAGUGAAAAUGCAUUGCUUUUGGAUCCCAUUAAGUGUGUCCAGGUUGCCCUAGAAAAGUAAUCAACUAUAGUAAGAAAGUAUUUAUAACCAGAAGAAGUAGAAGUGUGGUAAGGUCCCCAGGUGUCUACAUGUAUUAAUUGAAAUGGUCUUGUUGUACUGAUACUGCUGUCAUGAAAAGGAAGUCUAGUCUGCUUUGCCAUGGGGCAGACAGAACAGGGAAAAGGUUGUUUAGGAGCAAGAGGAAAAGACAAACCAGAAAUAUGUCUCAUAUUUGCAAAAGGAGUAUGUGCCAGUCUUAAAUGCCAAAUGUAAUUCAUAUCAUUAAACAGAACAGGGAAAAUGUUUUUUAGGAGCAAGAGGAAAAGAUAAACCAGAAAUAUAUCUCAUAUUUGCAAAAGGAGUAUGUGCCAAUCUUAAAUGCCAAAUGUAAUUCAUAUCAUUGAUAACAACAUUAUUACAAGUGGAGUUGCUUACAAGUGAAGGUAAGGCAACAUUUUUGCUGUCAGACAAAGUGUCAUCAUUACAAAAAUUAUACAAAGCACACACAGAAGUAAAAGGAGAAACAGAAGAGGGAGAAGGGGAAGGAGGCACCCAAG